Molecule: long non-coding RNA, 2895 nt
Organism: Balaenoptera ricei (Rice's whale)
Lineage: Eukaryota; Metazoa; Chordata; Mammalia; Artiodactyla; Balaenopteridae
Exons: 8
Source: RefSeq, a predicted model, not a curated record
GAGCCGAGGCCAACCCGCUCGGCCCCACCCCUCGGAACAAGGCCCGCCCGCCGGCCGCAGCCCGGCUCCUGUUCUAGGCCUGCUUCUCGCGGGGCCUGCUCCUGGGAGGCGAAGCGCCACACUGAGGACGCGGAGGUGGUUUCCGACCGCAGCGCCCGGGGCUCCUCCUCCCGCGCUACCCAGGGAGGCGGGCUGUGCUCUUUUCAAGGUCCCGCCAAAGGGCCCCGCCAUCGCGGAGGGAGACCUUCACAGCCUUCCCUCCUACACUAGGCCGGGAACCGCCAGACCGGAAGCUGCGGGGUCUCAGGGCCCCGGCUCGUUCUCGCCUAGCAGCAAGCCGCGGGUGCGCAUGCUCCGCGAAGGCCCGCACAGAGCCCGGGUGAACCCUGAUAGAGCCAUCACGAGGCGGGGUUAUUGCUGGAAUGGUGGUGGUUUGGGGAACUCUUUUUUGGUGAGAUGGUGAAGUGGGAAGGUGCACCGCGUUUCCAGUGGGCUCCCACUUGGUGCUGGCUUGGCUUCUUGGAAAGAGAGUGAAAAGUCAGAGCCUCAGAGCUGCCACUGAACUCCACAGCCUUCACCUUGCCUCUUCCUGUUUGGAGGACCCAGAUCCAGUUAGCGCAGUCCUGCUUCCCAACUAGGAGCCCGUCCGCUGAGAGGAAGUCUUGUGAUUACAUUGGACCCUCCCAGAUACUCCAGGACAAUCUCCUCAUCUCAAGAUCCGUAACAUGAUCACAUCAGCCGAGUCCUUUGCCUGUGAGGUGAAAAGCGGGGUGACAUUUUUUUGUGUGGGGGGGAGUGACAUUCUUAAUCCUCUCGCGGUUUCACUGAAGCAUCGAGUGGAACCCUCACUCCUGCCGAGGAGCCGUCUGGUCCUGACGUCUUGUCUGGGGGACUGAGCCCCAGGAACCAGGGUACGCUGGCUGGGUUAAGGGCCUUUCCAUUCUGCCUGCCCUCUCAGCAGCCCUUGGCCAGGCACCAGCUAUGACCUCAGUUCAGACUGGCCCCUUGGUUCCCUGAGCGCCGCCCCCCGCCCCCUCCCCAGCCUGCUCCAGAUCCAGUCUCUGGCCUCAUCCACAUUCCCAGAUCACUCCUCACGACUUGGUCCCUUCUCUGUCAUGGCCCCCACUACCUGCCCCAGAGGCACUCUGGGCUCCAGCCUGCCGGCUCAGGCCCAGCCGCCACCCAGCCCUCUCCACACGUGUGAAAACCACAUGCAUGGGCUCUCUCCAGCUCUCCAGAGAAAAGUCCAACUACAAGACCCGGAGCUGAAGAAGGGGAACGCGCACAAUUGUACAGGCCAGUGCUGGGGGGGUCCGAUGGGAUGAUGGGCCUCCCGGAUGCUUUAUAAGGCCAAACUCCCCAGCACAGUCAGCACCACAUCUGGAAUUAAGCUGGAAAUUCCAAUUGCUCUCUGCUGCUGAAAAAAAAUGUGUCAAAUUUUCCCAGAGAUUUUGUGGAAAUGGGAAGCCCUGCAGGGAUGGGGGUAGGGGUGGAAUGCUCACUCCACGGGACCCCAGAGCUUUGGGGAAAUCCAGAUGUCACAAUGUGUCCACAGUCCUUGGCUGAUGGCUCCCCCAGCCUCCCUCAGCUGUGCUCCCUGCCCCGUGAAAAUUAAAGACGCCUGGAGCAGGAGGGGUAUUUUGCUUCUCCCUAGGACCCACAAGUCCGUCCAGUUCUGGAAGUCAGAAGUCCAAAAUCAGCCUCACUGGUGUUGAUGCCACAGUUUGGUCAUGUGCUGCCCUACCUCCUAAGGCGGUGCCCAGGGUUCACAUUAUCCUUUCCAUGGCAGAGAUGCUAAGAGAAAGAUCUGGAUCUGAGUUUCAGCUCUGCCUCUUCUGAGCCAUGUGACCUUUUUGAGCUCCCAUGUCCUCAUCAGCAAAAUGGAGGGACUGUGAGACCCUUAGAAGCAGAGUUAUGGCCUGAUCAACCGUGGACACUCAGCACCCAGCACAGCGGGAUGGCUGGAGCUCUAGAACAUUCUCCCUCCCCACAGCCUUGGUAUCAACACCUGACCAGGAGCUCUGAACACCAUUGGCCAUGUUUUGGGGUUUAUUACCUGGUUCCCUCACUAGAAUGUUGUUUCUUGAGGGCAGGAGCCCUGCUUCUUUGGGUCACCCCUCUUUCUUCAGUGAUUGGCCCAUAGAAGGCGCCGAGUAACUAUUUGUGGAAAAUGACAGGCGUGAGUCCAUGCUCCUCACAGGACCUCUACCUCAGGUUGUACCGGUUCACUUUCCUAUGGGACGCACCCCUCUGUGCUUUGGCAACGCUGGGUGGUGGAGAGAGAACUAGAGUCGUGUCUUGGAGUCCCAGGUCCUGUCCCAUCUUUCACACCUUGCCAGCCUCAGGCAGGCCUCUUUACCCCUCUGAGCCUUGGAUGCCCCGUGUGAAGAAGAAGAGCGUGGUCCCUGCCCUGUAUCCUCCCCGGAAGGCCACAAGGAUGGGCUGGAAGGAAACCUCCAUAGAGGAGCUUCCGAGAGGGCUUGGUGCCCCACACCAGGGGCUGGGAGCCCCAGCGGGACCUGAACAAGUUGUGCACUGACCACCAAGCCCAGCACAGCAACUGCCCCUCCCGCCCUCCCUCUGCUCGGCUGGCCACAGCUCCCCCUGGACUCUGGGGCAUUUCUGAGAAGUUGAGGGGGGGCAGCUGUGUGGUGGCAGGAAGGGCCAGGCCCAGCCCGGGAGCACUGGGGGCUGCUGGCUUCAGCCUCCAGCCAGGCUCCAAAAGGCAGUCACAUAGGGUGGGUGGAGGGGGUGCACCCGAACCCCUGGAACUUUCUAUGGGUCUCAGAAUGUGCAGCAAAUAUGGUAAAGCACUGCUCUGGGGUUCCCUGUUACUUUUGUUCUCAUUCAUACAAUUUGAUGAGUAUGCAUUGAUGGGAGACACCAAAAACUUUG